Molecule: ribosomal RNA, 843 nt
Filed under: uncultured bacterium
Lineage: Bacteria
Description: bacterial SSU rRNA
Rfam family: Bacterial small subunit ribosomal RNA (bases 1-694)
Source: RNAcentral
UAACGCGUGGGUAACCUGCCCUGUACACACGGAUAACAUACCGAAAGGUAUGCUAAUACGAGAUAAAAUAUUUUUAUCGCAUGGUAGAAAUAUCAAAGCUUUUGCGGUACAGGAUGGACCCGCGUCUGAUUAGCUAGUUGGUAAGGUAACGGCUUACCAAGGCGACGAUCAGUAGCCGACCUGAGAGGGUGAUCGGCCACAUUGGAACUGAGACACGGUCCAAACUCCUACGGGAGGCAGCAGUGGGGAAUAUUGCACAAUGGGCGAAAGCCUGAUGCAGCAACGCCGCGUGAGCGAUGAAGGCCUUCGGGUCGUAAAGCUCUGUCCUCAAGGAAGAUAAUGACGGUACUUGAGGAGGAAGCCCCGGCUAACUACGUGCCAGCAGCCGCGGUAAUACGUAGGGGGCUAGCGUUAUCCGGAAUUACUGGGCGUAAAGGGUGCGUAGGUGGUUUCUUAAGUCAGAGGUGAAAGGCUACGGCUCAACCGUAGUAAGCCUUUGAAACUGGGGAACUUGAGUGCAGGAGAGGAGAGUGGAAUUCCUAGUGUAGCGGUGAAAUGCGUAGAUAUUAGGAGGAACACCAGUUGCGAAGGCGGCUCUCUGGACUGUAACUGACACUGAGGCACGAAAGCGUGGGGAGCAAACAGGAUUAGAUACCCUGGUAGUCCACGCCGUAAACGAUGAGUACUAGCUGUCGGAGGGGAGAGGUAAGUGGAAUUCCUAGUGUAGCGGUGAAAUGCGUAGAUAUUAGGAGGAACACCAGUGGCGAAGGCGGCUUACUGGACUGUAACUGACGUUGAGGCUCGAAAGCGUGGGGAGCAAACAGGAUUAGAUACCCUGGUAGU